Molecule: ribosomal RNA, 482 nt
Filed under: uncultured bacterium
Lineage: Bacteria
Description: partial 16S ribosomal RNA
Rfam family: Bacterial small subunit ribosomal RNA
Source: RNAcentral
AUUGAACGCUGGCGGCAUGCUUUACACAUGCAAGUCGAACGGUAACAGGCCGCAAGGUGCGGACGAGUGGCGAACGGGCGAGUAAUGCAUCGGAACGUGCCCAGUCGUGGGGGAUAACUACUCGAAAGAGUAGCUAAUACCGCAUACGAUCUGAGGAUGAAAGCGGGGGACGGGAAGGGCACGCGUGAGUGGAGCGGCCGGUGUCAGAUUAGGUAGUUGGUGGGGUAAAGGCACACGAAGCCAACGAUCUGGAGCUGGUCUGAGAGGACGAGGGGCCACACUGGGACUGAGCCACGGCCCAGACUCCUGCGGGAGGCCGCAGUGGGCAAUUUUGGACAAUGGGCGCAAGCCUGAUCCAGCAAUGCCGCGUGCAGGAAGAAGGCCUUCGGGUUGUAAACUGCUUUUGUACGGAACGAAACGGCUCUGGUUAAUACCCGGGGCUAAUGACGGUACCGUAAGAAUAAGCACCGGCUAACUACGUG